Molecule: long non-coding RNA, 712 nt
Organism: Bos taurus (domestic cattle)
Lineage: Eukaryota; Metazoa; Chordata; Mammalia; Artiodactyla; Bovidae
Source: Ensembl
GGAUUGUUUUCCUUCAUCCUGAGCUCCGCUCACCUUAAUUCUCUCCAGCUUUGGCCCAGGGUUGACCAGGUUUUCUUCGUUCUACCUCAGCAUCCAGUUGGGGCUCUUUUCCUGCUGGACCGGUUGAUUGCAGGCUGCCCUCUCUCUGAGCUGGGGCUCCUCUUUCACCUGCGCUGCUUGGGAAACAAAAACUUUACAAAGAUUCCUUCUGAUGCUUCACACAGGCGCUGCGCUCUCGCCUUCUUCUAGAUUCUAAAGCUCACAGCCAAAAGACUGCGAGAAUUCUUCUGGUAUCCAUGUGGGAGAGAAAAGCCCAUGUAGGAGGCUGGAAGAUGUGAAUGGAGCUUGUGGGGCCAUUCCCAGCAUUCCCUGGAGUUUAGCUUGAGAAAAUAAUAAGAAUUCUAUACGAUCAGUGAUCUCACUCAUCUGGACUACGACAACACCCAGCUAGGCUGCUUCUCCCCCUUGCAGCUCCUGCCCAGCCGGCCAGGCAGGUCUGACGAUGGAGAUACCUGCUUCCACACGGGAAGAAACUCUGAGUUCACAGACAGGUGCCCCAGGAGCAAGUCCCAGCUCUCUGUCCGCUUGUUUGGGGCACUUGAGUGGCCACUUAGCUUUGCUGAGCCUCACACUCUCCUCCUGUAAAAUGGAGCUAAUACACCUCUGUCACAGAGCCACUGUCAGUCUCUAAUGAAAUAAAGCUUGUGAUGUG